GAUAAACGCUGACAGAAUGCUUAACACAUGCAAGUCAACUUGAAUUUGGGUUUUUAACUUAGAUUUGGGUGGCGGACGGGUGAGUAACGCGUAAAGAACUUGCCUCACAGCUAGGGACAACAUUUAGAAAUGAAUGCUAAUACCUGAUAUUAUGAUUUUAAGGCAUCUUAGAAUUAUGAAAGCUAUACGCACUGUGAGAGAGCUUUGCGUCCCAUUAGUUAGUUGGAGAGGUAACAGCUCACCAAGGCGAUGAUGGGUAGCCGGCCUGAGAGGGUGAACGGCCACAAGGGGACUGAGACACGGCCCUUACUCCUACGGGAGGCAGCAGUGGGGAAUAUUGGACAAUGGACCGAGAGUCUGAUCCAGCAAUUCUGUGUGCACGAUGAAGUUUUUCGGAAUGUAAAGUGCUUUCAGUUGGGAAGAAAUAAAUGACGGUACCAACAGAAGAAGUGACGGCUAAAUACGUGCCAGCAGCCGCGGUAAUACGUAUGUCACGAGCGUUAUCCGGAUUUAUUGGGCGUAAAGCGCGUCUAGGUGGUUAUGUAAGUCUGAUGUGAAAAUGCAGGGCUCAACUCUGUAUUGCGUUGGAAACUGUAUAACUAGAGUACUGGAGAGGUAAGCGGAACUACAAGUGUAGAGGUGAAAUUCGUAGAUAUUUGUAGGAAUGCCGAUGGGGAAGCCAGCUUACUGGACAGAUACUGACGCUAAAGCGCGAAAGCGUGGGUAGCAAACAGGAUUAGAUACCCUGGUAGUCCAAGGGCGAAUUCCACAGUGGAUAUCAAGCUUAUCGAUACCGUCGACCUCGAGGGGGGGCCCGGUACCUAUAAAUUUGUUCCCUUUAGUAGGGGUUA
This 851-nucleotide ribosomal RNA is filed under the name uncultured Fusobacterium sp. RNAcentral's name for it is "bacterial SSU rRNA". It matches the Rfam family "Bacterial small subunit ribosomal RNA". The record is from RNAcentral. Lineage: Bacteria; Fusobacteriati; Fusobacteriota; Fusobacteriia; Fusobacteriales; Fusobacteriaceae.